Molecule: ribosomal RNA, 216 nt
Filed under: Glomeromycotina sp.
Lineage: Eukaryota; Fungi; Glomeromycota
Description: partial small subunit ribosomal RNA
Rfam family: Eukaryotic small subunit ribosomal RNA (bases 40-216)
Source: RNAcentral
GGGUCAGUAGGUUGGUCGUGCCACCGGUACGUACUGGUCUCACUGAUUCCUCUUUCCUGAAGAACCGUAAUGCCAUUAAUUUGGUGUUGCGGGGAAACAGGACUAUUACUUUGAAAAAAUUAGAGUGUUUAAAGCAAGCUAACGCUUGAAUACAUUAGCAUGGAAUAAUGAAAUAGGACGAUCGAUCCUAUUUUGUUGGUUUCUAGGAUUGACGUA